GAUGAACGCUAGCUACAGGCUUAACACAUGCAAGUCGAGGGGUAACGAGAGGAAAGCUUGCUUUCCUUGUCGACGACCGGCGCACGGGUGAGUAACGCGUAUCCAACCUGCCCCCAACUAAGGAAUAACCUUGCGAAAGUAAGACUAAUACCUUAUAAUUUCCUCAGAUGACAUCUGACGAGGAAUAAAGAUUUAUCGGUUGUGGAUGGGGAUGCGUCUGAUUAGCUUGUUGGCGGGGUAACGGCCCACCAAGGCAACGAUCAGUAGGGGUUCUGAGAGGAAGGUCCCCCACAUUGGAACUGAGACACGGUCCAAACUCCUACGGGAGGCAGCAGUGAGGAAUAUUGGUCAAUGGGAGGAAGCCUGAACCAGCCAAGUAGCGUGCAGGAUGACGGCCCUAUGGGUUGUAAACUGCUUUUAUACAGGAAUAAAGUUAGCCACGUGUGGUUAUUUGUAGGUACUGUAUGAAUAAGGACCGGCUAAUUCCGUGCCAGCAGCAGCCGCCG
This 506-nucleotide ribosomal RNA is filed under the name uncultured bacterium. RNAcentral's name for it is "partial 16S ribosomal RNA". It matches the Rfam family "Bacterial small subunit ribosomal RNA", at positions 28 to 523 of the family's 1533-position model. The record is from RNAcentral.